AACUUUUAACAAUGGAUCACUUGGUUCUCGCAUCGAUGAAGAACGCAGCGAAAUGCGAUACGUAAUGUGAAUUGCAGAAUUUGUGAAUCAUCGAAUCUUUGAACGCACAUUGCGCUCUCUGGUAUUCCGGAGAGCAUGCCUGUUUGAGCGUCAUUAAAACCUCUCAAUCAUUUGAAUGUUUGCGCAUGCGAAUGGUUGGUGUUGGACAUUGUGCGCGGCACCUUUAUGGAGCUGUGCUUGUCUGAAAGAUAUUGCAACGAAAACGUAAUAAGAAAUUACCUCGUGAUCGGACUGCACAAUCAUGGGCUCAAUCUAUUUGGGUCUACUUCUAAUUUUGACCUCAAAUCAGGUAGGACUACGCGCUGAACUUAAGCAUAUCAAUAAGCGGAGGCU
RNAcentral lists this unclassified non-coding RNA (393 nucleotides) under uncultured Basidiomycota. RNAcentral describes it as "sequence contains ITS2". The stretch from base 1 to 153 matches the Rfam family "5.8S ribosomal RNA". Lineage: Eukaryota; Fungi; Basidiomycota. The record is from RNAcentral.